RNAcentral lists this ribosomal RNA (382 nucleotides) under uncultured bacterium. RNAcentral's name for it is "bacterial SSU rRNA". It matches the Rfam family "Bacterial small subunit ribosomal RNA", at positions 355 to 754 of the family's 1533-position model. The record is from RNAcentral.
UCGGGAAUUUUGGGCAAUGGGCGAAAGCCUGACCCAGCAACGUCGCGUGAAGGAUGAAGUAUUUCGGUAUGUAAACUUCGAAAGAAUAGGAAGAAUAAAUGACGGUACUAUUUAUAAGGUCCGGCUAACUACGUGCCAGCAGCCGCGGUAAUACGUAGGGACCAAGCGUUGUUCGGAUUUACUGGGCGUAAAGGGCGCGUAGGCGGCAAUUCAAGUCAUCUGUGAAAUCUCCGGGCUUAACUCGGAACGGUCAGAUGAUACUGCUUUGCUAGAGUGCAGAAGGGGCAAUCGGAAUUCUUGGUGUAGCGGUGAAAUGCGUAGAUAUCAAGAGGAACACCUGAGGUGAAGACGGGUUGCUGGGCUGACACUGACGCUGAGGCGC